GACGAACGCUGGCGGCGUGCUUAACACAUGCAAGUCGAACGGAAAGGCCCUGCUUUUGUGGGGUGCUCGAGUGGCGAACGGGUGAGUAACACGUGAGUAACCUGCCCUUGACUUUGGGAUAACUUCAGGAAACUGGGGCUAAUACCGGAUAGGAGCUCCUGCUGCAUGUUGGGGGUUGGAAAGUUUCGGCGGUUGGGGAUGGACUCGCGGCUUAUCAGCUUGUUGGUGGGGUAGUGGCUUACCAAGGCUUUGACGGGUAGCCGGCCUGAGAGGGUGACCGGCCACAUUGGGACUGAGAUACGGCCCAGACUCCUACGGGAGGCAGCAGUGGGGAAUAUUGCACAAUGGGCGGAAGCCUGAUGCAGCAACGCCGCGUGCGGGAUGAAGGCCUUCGGGUUGUAAACCGCUUUCGCCUGUGACGAAGCGUGAGUGACGGUAAUGGGUAAAGAAGCACCGGCUAACUACGUG
This 468-nucleotide ribosomal RNA is filed under the name uncultured bacterium. RNAcentral describes it as "partial 16S ribosomal RNA". It matches the Rfam family "Bacterial small subunit ribosomal RNA", at positions 28 to 507 of the family's 1533-position model. The record is from RNAcentral.